Molecule: ribosomal RNA, 36 nt
Filed under: Pelobates cultripes (western spadefoot toad)
Lineage: Eukaryota; Metazoa; Chordata; Amphibia; Anura; Pelobatidae
Description: SSU_rRNA_eukarya
Source: RNAcentral
AGGGAGCCUGAGAAAUGGCUACCACAUCCAAAGAAG